This 460-nucleotide ribosomal RNA is filed under the name uncultured bacterium. Its description in RNAcentral is "partial 16S ribosomal RNA". It matches the Rfam family "Bacterial small subunit ribosomal RNA", at positions 338 to 795 of the family's 1533-position model. The record is from RNAcentral.
CCUACGGGAGGCAGCAGUGAGGAAUAUUGGUCAAUGGUCGCGAGCCUGAACCAGCCAAGUAGCGUGAAGGAUGACUGCCCUGCGGGUUGUAAACUUCUUUUAUAAGGGAAUAAAGUCAGGCACGUGUGCCUUUUUGUAUGUACUUUAUGAAUAAGGAUCGGCUAACUCCGUGCCAGCAGCCGCGGUAAUACGGAGGAUCCGAGCGUUAUCCGGAUUUAUUGGGUUUAAAGGGUGCGUAGAGGGGGUGUUAAGUCAGUUGUUAAAGUUUGCGGCUCAACCGUAAAAUUGCAAUUGAUACUGGCAGUCUGGAGGAGAGUUGAGGUAGGCGGAAUUCGCGGGGUAGCGGUGAAAUGCUUAGAUAUCACGAAGAACUCCGAUUGCGAAGGCAGCAUACUAAACUGCCACUGACAUUGAGGCUCGAAAGUGUGGGUAUCAAACAGGAUUAGAUACCCGUGUAGUC